Molecule: ribosomal RNA, 403 nt
Filed under: uncultured bacterium
Lineage: Bacteria
Description: bacterial SSU rRNA
Rfam family: Bacterial small subunit ribosomal RNA
Source: RNAcentral
UGGGGAAUCUUGGACAAUGGGCGCAAGCCUGAUCCAGCGACGCCGCGUGGGUGAUGAAGGCCUUCGGGUUGUAAAGCCCUUUUCCCGGGGACGAUGAUGACGGUACCCGGGGAAUAAGCACCGGCUAACUCCGUGCCAGCAGCCGCGGUAAGACGGAGGGUGCUAGCGUUGUUCGGAAUUACUGGGCGUAAAGGGCGCGUAGGCGGCCUGGUAAGUCGGGUGUGAAAGCCCGGGGCUCAACCCCGGAACGGCACCCGAGACUGGCGGGCUCGAGACCGGGAGAGGAGGGUGGAAUACCCAGUGUAGAGGUGAAAUUCGUAGAUAUUGGGUGGAACACCGGUGGCGAAAGCGGCUCUCUGGCCCGGUUCUGACGCUGAGGCGCGAAAGCGUGGGGAGCAAACAG